UAAGACAGAGGGUGCAAACGUUGUUCGGAAUUACUGGGCGUAAAGCGAGUGUAGGCGGUUUGGUAAGUCGGAUGUGAAAGCCCCGGGCUCAACCCGGGAAGUGCACUCGAUACUGCCAAGCUAGAGUAUCGGAGAGGUUGGUGGAAUUCUCGGUGUAGAGGUGAAAUUCGUAGAUAUCGAGAGGAACACCGGUGGCGAAGGCGGCCAACUGGACGAAUACUGACGCUGAGACUCGAAAGCGUGGGGAGCAAACAGGAUUAGAUACCCUGGUAGUCCACGCCGUAAACGAUGGGUGCUAGGUGUCGCGGGCUUUGACUCCUGCGGUGCCGUAGCUAACGCAUUAAGCACCCCGCCUGGGAAGUACGGCCGCAAGGCUA
This 377-nucleotide ribosomal RNA is filed under the name uncultured bacterium. RNAcentral's name for it is "bacterial SSU rRNA". It matches the Rfam family "Bacterial small subunit ribosomal RNA", at positions 521 to 896 of the family's 1533-position model. The record is from RNAcentral.